This 1001-nucleotide ribosomal RNA is filed under the name uncultured bacterium. RNAcentral describes it as "bacterial SSU rRNA". It matches the Rfam family "Bacterial small subunit ribosomal RNA", at positions 353 to 1371 of the family's 1533-position model. The record is from RNAcentral.
AGUGGGGAAUAUUGCACAAUGGAGGAAACUCUGAUGCAGCAACGCCGCGUGGAGGAUGACGCAUUUCGGUGUGUAAACUCCUUUUAUAUGGGAAGAUAAUGACGGUACCAUAUGAAUAAGCACCGGCUAACUCCGUGCCAGCAGCCGCGGUAAUACGGAGGGUGCAAGCGUUACUCGGAAUCACUGGGCGUAAAGCGCGCGCAGGCGGACUAAUAAGCUAGAAGUGAAAUGCUGUGGCUCAACCAUAGAACUGCUUCUAGAACUGUUAGUCUAGAGUCUGGGAGGGGAAGAUGGAAUUAGUUGUGUAGGGGUAAAAUCCGUAGAGAUAACUAGGAAUACCAAAAGCGAAGGCGAUCUUCUGGAACAGUACUGACGCUGAGGCGCGAAAGCGUGGGGAGCAAACAGGAUUAGAUACCCUGGUAGUCCACGCCCUAAACGAUGAAUGUUAGUCGUUGGAUAGCUAGUCUAUUCAGUGAUGCAGUUAACACAUUAAACAUUCCGCCUGGGGAGUACGGUCGCAAGAUUAAAACUCAAAGGAAUAGACGGGGACCCGCACAAGUGGUGGAGCAUGUGGUUUAAUUCGAAGAUACGCGAAGAACCUUACCUAGCCUUGACAUUGAAAGAAUCUUCCAGAGAUGGAGGAGUGCCCUUCGGGGAACUUGAAAACAGGUGCUGCACGGCUGUCGUCAGCUCGUGUCGUGAGAUGUUGGGUUAAGUCCCGCAACGAGCGCAACCCUCGUGACUAGUUACUAACGGUUCGGCCGAGGACUCUAGUCAGACUGCCUUCGCAAGGAGGAGGAAGGUGAGGACGACGUCAAGUCAUCAUGGCCCUUACGGCUAGGGCGACACACGUGCUACAAUGGGUAGGACAAUGAGAAGCGAUACCGCGAGGUGGAGCAAAUCUAUAAACCUACUCUCAGUUCGGAUAGCAGUCUGCAACUCGACUGCUUGAAGCUGGAAUCACUAGUAAUCGUAGAUCAGCCAUGCUACGGUGAAUACGU